CCUACGGGAGGCAGCAGUGAGGAAUAUUGGUCAAUGGCCGAGAGGCUGAACCAGCCAAGUCGCGUGAGGGAAGACGGCCCUACGGGUUGUAAACCUCUUUUGUCGGGGAGCAAAGCGAGUCACGUGUGACUCAUUGAGAGUACCCGACGAAAAAGCAUCGGCUAACACCGUGCCAGCAGCCGCGGUAAUACGGAGGAUGCGAGCGUUAUCCGGAUUUAUUGGGUUUAAAGGGUGCGCAGGCGGAGGUGCAAGUCAGCGGUCAAAUUGCGGGGCUCAACCCCGUACUGCCGUUGAAACUGCAGCCCUUGAGUGCGCGAGAAGUAGGCGGAAUGCGUGGUGUAGCGGUGAAAUGCAUAGAUAUCACGCAGAACUCCGAUUGCGAAGGCAGCAUACCGGCGCGCAACUGACGCUCAUGCACGAAAGCGUGGGUAUCGAACAGGAUUAGAUACCCGGGUAGUC
This 459-nucleotide ribosomal RNA is filed under the name uncultured bacterium. RNAcentral's name for it is "partial 16S ribosomal RNA". It matches the Rfam family "Bacterial small subunit ribosomal RNA", at positions 338 to 795 of the family's 1533-position model. The record is from RNAcentral.